UUACGCUGUUAUCCCUUAGGUAAUUUAGUCUUAUAAUCAACAAAAAUGGAUCAAAUAUAUAUAAAUAAAUAUAAAAAAAUAAAAAGAGUUAAUUAAAUCUUUCCAUCACCCCAACAAAAUAAAUUUUCAAAUUAAAAAAAUAUCAUACAAAAAAAUAAAAAUAUAUAUAAACUCUAUAGGGUCUUCUCGUCCCAAAAAAAUAUUUAGGCAUUUUAACCUAAAAUUUAAAUUCAAUAAAUAAAUUAAAGACAGUUUACACCUCGUCAAACCAUUCAUUCCAGCCUACAAUUAAAAGACUAAUGAUUAUGCUACCUUUGCCGGUCAAAAUACCGCGGCCCUUCAAUACUCAGUGGGCAGGGCAUACAUAAAAUAUAUUCAAGAAGAGAUGUUUUUGAUAAACAGGCG
Molecule: ribosomal RNA, 405 nt
Filed under: Cryptocercus kyebangensis
Lineage: Eukaryota; Metazoa; Arthropoda; Insecta; Blattodea; Cryptocercidae
Description: partial 16S ribosomal RNA
Source: RNAcentral